This 253-nucleotide ribosomal RNA is filed under the name uncultured bacterium. RNAcentral's name for it is "partial 16S ribosomal RNA". It matches the Rfam family "Bacterial small subunit ribosomal RNA", at positions 524 to 776 of the family's 1533-position model. The record is from RNAcentral.
AACGUAGGGGGCGAGCGUUGUCCGGAAUUAUUGGGCGUAAAGCGCGUGUAGGCGGAAUCUUAAGUCAGGUGUGAAAACUCGGGGCUCAACCCCGAGCCUGCAUCUGAAACUGGGUUUCUUGAGGACGGGAGAGGAAAGUGGAAUUCCUAGUGUAGCGGUGAAAUGCGUAGAUAUUAGGAGGAACACCAGUGGCGAAGGCGACUUUCUGGACCGUAACUGACGCUGAGACGCGAAAGCGUGGGGAGCAAACAGG